UACGGGGGGGGCAAGCGUUGUUCGGAAUUACCGGGCGUAAAGGGCUCGUAGGCGGCCAACUAAGUCGGACGUGAAAUCCCCAGGCUCAACCUGGGAACUGCGUCCGAUACUGGAUGGCUUGAAUCCGGGAGAGGGAUGCAGAAUUCCAGGUGUAGCGGUGAAAUGCGUAGAUAUCUGGAGGAAUACCGGUGGCGAAGGCGGCAUCCUGGACCGGCAUUGACGCUGAGGAGCGAAAGCCAGGGGAGCAAACGGG
This 253-nucleotide ribosomal RNA is filed under the name uncultured bacterium. RNAcentral describes it as "partial 16S ribosomal RNA". It matches the Rfam family "Bacterial small subunit ribosomal RNA", at positions 524 to 776 of the family's 1533-position model. The record is from RNAcentral.